This 245-nucleotide ribosomal RNA is filed under the name uncultured bacterium. Its description in RNAcentral is "partial 16S ribosomal RNA". It matches the Rfam family "Bacterial small subunit ribosomal RNA", at positions 524 to 768 of the family's 1533-position model. The record is from RNAcentral.
UACGUAGGGUGCGAGCGUUGUCCGGAAUUAUUGGGCGUAAAGAGCUCGUAGGCGGCUUGUCACGUCGGAUGUGAAAGCCCGGGGCUUAACCCCGGGUCUGCAUUCGAUACGGGCAGGCUAGAGUGUGGUAGGGGAGAUCGGAAUUCCUGGUGUAGCGGUGAAAUGCGCAGAUAUCAGGAGGAACACCGGUGGCGAAGGCGGAUCUCUGGGCCAUUACUGACGCUGAGGAGCGAAAGCGUGGGGAG